UUUUUUUUGGUUUCUGGGCCGGGUGUGGGUUGGAUUCGGGUCGGGUCGGCCCGAAAAAAUAUUAUUUUUCUUUUUUCUUUCUUUCCCUUUUUUCUCUCUUUUUUCCUUCCUUCUUUUUCUUCUUUCUUUUUCCUUCUUCGUUCGGCCCCUAGUCCAAAUUCACGCUACUACGCCGCCGCCGCUUCUUCCGCCCGUGGUACGAUGGUGCCGAUACUCCCCCUUCUUCCUCUUCUCUCUUUUUUCUUUCCCUUCUCUUUUUCCUCUUUUUCUCUUUUUUUCUUUUUCUUUUUCUAUUCUUUUUCCCUUCGAAAACUCGAAAACUAAAGGCGUCACCACUCCCUCCAGUCCACCAUUUGUUGUUCGGUCUUCCUCCGCCCUAGGUGACCGUGGAAGAGGGCCGAAAUUCCUUGCUAACUUUGAUUUUGCUGCUGCUCUUUUUUACUGUUUUUUUUUGGUUUUUUGGUUGCUUGCGGAUUGUGGCGAAUGAUUGUUGGUUUCGAUCGUGGUGGUGUUACGACGGGGCUGCGGGUGCGGUGGCGGUGGCGAUGAGUGUGAGAUCGGUUGAUUUGAGAGAUUUUUUGCUGCUUGAAUUUUCUCUGCUGGUUUUUUUUCUCUUGGUUGCCGAAAAAUCCCCCCUCUUUCCCCUCAAUUUUUCUUUUUAAUCUCUCAAAUUUGUCUUCUUCC
This 684-nucleotide long non-coding RNA is filed under the name Gossypium raimondii (Peruvian cotton). RNAcentral describes it as "long non-coding RNA (GRAI_LNC000676)". The record is from RNAcentral. Lineage: Eukaryota; Viridiplantae; Streptophyta; Magnoliopsida; Malvales; Malvaceae.